GAUGAAGAACGCAGCGAAAUGCGAUAAGUAAUGUGAAUUGCAGAAUUCAGUGAAUCAUCGAAUCUUUGAACGCACAUUGCGCCCGCCAGUAUUCUGGCGGGCAUGCCUGUUCGAGCGUCAUUUCAACCAUCAAGCCCCCGGCUUGUGUUGGGGACCUGCGGCUGCCGCAGGCCCUGAAAACCAGUGGCGGGCUCGCUAGUCACUCCGAGCGUAGUAAUACAUCUCGCUCAGGGCGUGCUGUGGGUUCCGGCCGUUAAAAAGCCUUAUUUACCCAAGGUUGACCUCGGAUCAGGUAGGAAGACCAGCUGAACUUAAGCAUAUCAAUAAGCGGAGGA
RNAcentral lists this unclassified non-coding RNA (335 nucleotides) under soil metagenome. RNAcentral describes it as "partial contains 5.8S ribosomal RNA, internal transcribed spacer 2, and large subunit ribosomal RNA". The stretch from base 1 to 120 matches the Rfam family "5.8S ribosomal RNA", at positions 35 to 154 of the family's 154-position model. The record is from RNAcentral.